Mustela erminea (ermine) is the source of this 1181-nucleotide long non-coding RNA. RefSeq lists it as uncharacterized. The transcript has 4 exons. Lineage: Eukaryota; Metazoa; Chordata; Mammalia; Carnivora; Mustelidae. The record is from RefSeq and is a predicted model, not a curated record.
UGAGAUUUCUUUGUUAGCAGCUAUCAGACAUAGCUUUCCUUAAUUAAAGAGUCUGAACACUAAACUACAAAUAGAAGAGAUUGGAGGAAUUGUGGUCUGGUCUCAUCUCUAGAAAUAUGUCUUCAAUAGCAGAGAAAGGAAUUAUCAAGAGAAAAUAGAAAACUGCAAUACUUUGAAAGUUCCAUUAGGCUUUUUUUUUUUUUUAGAUUGAAAUAAAUGAUAGAGAAGGGUCUCCCAUCCAAGUACUAACCAGGCCUGACCCAGUUUAGCUUCUGAGAUAAAAUAUUAGCAGAAUUUUUGCUGAGACAUAAAAUUGAUGAAAUGCUACUCAGAAUAAUGGGGAAUGUAAGGAAGGAAGAAUAAACCAGAGAGGUUUGGUUAAGGUUAGUCAUACUAUUUAUGGCAGUAAUUUUCCUUUUAACAGUUGUCAUAAAAGCUUUUUUUUUUUUUUUUAACAAAUAGUGUAGAAACAACAUAUUUUUUUUUAACUUUCAAAGUCACAGGCAGUGUGUGAAGGAAGCAGCUUGGCUGUGAACUUGAAGCACUCCGUCAUCUGCUGCCUGCUGGUGCUGCUUCUGGGUUUUCCCUCCAGAAAAACCACAAAGGCGAGGAGUGGUGCAAAAAAACAGAGCAUCUUCAGCAGGUGAUCUGAAGAUUUUACAGCUAGAAACUGGAGCUAGAAAAUCCAGAGAAUUCAAGCUGUGUUGUUUUAAACAUGGUGGUAUCUUGAGCUACACUUAAAAGCUGAUUACUGUUAACUGAAUUCCAGGAUUGUAAUUUAUUUCAGAAGGUGUUUCUCCAGUAUCCAGUGUCUUCAACAAACGAAAAAGGCCAGCAGCUUCUCGUAUCCUACUGAAUUCAAUACAGAAUGCCUGCACUUCUAUAAACAAGUCCUGCACAUUAAUAAUUUUGUUACGGAUCAAGGACUGGAGAAAGACACACACAAGACGCACCAAACGAUUCUGGGGGGAAAAAAAAUAAAUUAGUGUACCCGUUUUCUUGGCAGAGUAAAAUGACCAAAGCUGGAAAAGCAGAACAAAGAUCCAGAGAGCCAAGACUCCUUGGAUCUAAAACACUUCCUACUGCUGGCUCCUGUUGACAGGAUCAUUUAUUGUUUAUCAUGUGGAAUAUUAAAGACAAAAUGCUUACAAUAAAUAUAUACCUGUGUUUGUUGAGGAGAA